AAAGUUUAAGUUUCAAGGUAAAAUUUAGAAUUGAAUCAUAAUUUGAAUGGAGUAUAAAACUUUAGAUUUAAAUUUAGAAUUUGAAUUUGAGUUAUUUUUCAUUUUGAAAUUGAAUUUUAAUUUGGGUUUGAUAUUGAAUUUAAUUUUCAUUUUAGGUUUAAAUUUAUUCAAUUUGAAAUUUUAAUUUUACUUUGAAUUUACAUUUGAUUAAGUUUGAAUUUACAUUCAAACUCUAUAUGGUAAUGACUCAAUUGGCAUCUUAAGUUUGAGUUUAACUUUAAAUUCUGGUUUGAAUUUUGUUUUAAAUAUAGUUUUGAAUUUGAAUAUUAAUUAAAAAGUUGACUCUUAAAUUUUACGUUUAUGUUGUGACCAAAUUUUAAAUUUGAUUAAAUUUUGAUUUGAAUUUUGUUCAUGGUUUAAUUUUAAAUUGAAUUUUGGAUUGUUAGAGUUCAGGAUUAGAUUUGCAUAGUGAUUAUAAAUUUGAACUUUGAAUUUUAGAUUUGAAUUUAAAUU
RNAcentral lists this long non-coding RNA (513 nucleotides) under Ananas comosus (pineapple). RNAcentral describes it as "long non-coding RNA (ACOM_LNC025219)". Lineage: Eukaryota; Viridiplantae; Streptophyta; Magnoliopsida; Poales; Bromeliaceae. The record is from RNAcentral.